GUGGGGAAUAUUGGGCAAUGGACGCAAGUCUGACCCAGCAACGCCGCGUGAAGGAAGAAGGCUUUCGGGUUGUAAACUUCUUUUGUCAGGGAAGAGUAGAAGACGGUACCUGACGAAUAAGCCACGGCUAACUACGUGCCAGCAGCCGCGGUAAUACGUAGGUGGCAAGCGUUGUCCGGAUUUACUGGGUGUAAAGGGCGUGCAGCCGGGCUGGCAAGUCAGAUGUGAAAUCUGGAGGCUUAACCUCCAAACUGCAUUUGAAACUGUAGGUCUUGAGUACCGGAGAGGUUAUCGGAAUUCCUUGUGUAGCGGUGAAAUGCGUAGAUAUAAGGAAGAACGCCAGUGGCGAAGGCGGAUAAAUGGACGGCAACUGACGGUGAGGCGCGAAAGCGUGGGGAGCAAACAGGAUUAGAUACCCGAGUAGUCC
This 427-nucleotide ribosomal RNA is filed under the name uncultured bacterium. RNAcentral's name for it is "partial 16S ribosomal RNA". It matches the Rfam family "Bacterial small subunit ribosomal RNA", at positions 354 to 796 of the family's 1533-position model. The record is from RNAcentral.